GACUCAUUGGUCAAGCGGUUAAGGCUCCGGUUUUUCACCCCGGCAUCCAGGGUUCGACUCCCUGAUGAGCUA
RNAcentral lists this transfer RNA (72 nucleotides) under Weissella cibaria. RNAcentral's name for it is "tRNA-Glu". It matches the Rfam family "tRNA". Rfam says of the family: Transfer RNA (tRNA) molecules are approximately 80 nucleotides in length. Lineage: Bacteria; Bacillati; Bacillota; Bacilli; Lactobacillales; Lactobacillaceae. The record is from RNAcentral.